UGAAAAGAACUGAGGUGAUCAGAGUGAAAUAGAACCUGAAACCAUUUGCUUACAAUCAUUCAGAGCCCUAUGUAGCAAUACAGGGUGAUGGACUGCCUUUUGCAUAAUGAGCCUGCGAGUUGUGGUGUCUGGCAAGGUUAAGCAAACGCGAAGCCGUAGCGAAAGCGAGUCUGAAUAGGGCGCUUAGUCAGAUGCUGCAGACCCGAAACGAAGUGAUCUAUCCAUGAGCAAGUUGAAGCUAGUGUAAGAACUAGUGGAGGACUGAACCCAUAGGCGUUGAAAAGCCCCGGGAUGACUUGUGGAUAGGGGUGAAAGGCCAAUCAAACUUCGUGAUAGCUGGUUCUCUCCGAAAUAUAUUUAGGUAUAGCGUUGUGUCGUAAUAUAAGGGGGUAGAGCACUGAAUGGGCUAGGGCAUACACCAAUGUACCAAACCCUAUCAAACUCCGAAUACCUUAUAUGUAAUCACAGCAGUCAGGCGGCGAGUGAUAAAAUCCGUCGUCAAGAGGGAAACAACCCAGACUACCAGCUAAGGUCCCUAAAUCUUACUUAAGUGGAAAACGAUGUGAAGUUACUUAAACAACCAGGAGGUUGGCUUAGAAGCAGCCAUCCUUUAAAGAAAGCGUAAUAGCUCACUGGUCUAGUGAUUUUGCGCGGAAAAUAUAACGGGGCUAAAGUAAGUACCGAAGCUGUAGACUUGCACACAACUUAGAUUAUUUAAGUUUAGAAUAUAAAAAACUAAGUUAUAUGUUUUAAGUUAUAUUUUUACUGAUUUUUAUAGGGUAAAGAUAGAAAUAAAACUUAGUAAAAUCAGUAAAAAUAUUCUUAGGCUAAAGUUAAGUAGUUUAAGUUGUGUGCAAGUGGUAGGAGAGCGUUCUAUUUGCGUCGAAGGUAUACCGGUAAGGAGUGCU
RNAcentral lists this ribosomal RNA (908 nucleotides) under Campylobacter jejuni. RNAcentral describes it as "partial 23S ribosomal RNA". It matches the Rfam family "Bacterial large subunit ribosomal RNA", at positions 515 to 1274 of the family's 2925-position model. The record is from RNAcentral. Lineage: Bacteria; Pseudomonadati; Campylobacterota; Epsilonproteobacteria; Campylobacterales; Campylobacteraceae.